UGGGGAAUAUUGCACAAUGGGCGAAAGCCUGAUGCAGCAACGCCGCGUGAGUGAUGAAGGCCUUCGGGUUGUAAAGCUCUGUCUUUUGGGACGAUAAUGACGGUACCAAAGGAGGAAGCCACGGCUAACUACGUGCCAGCAGCCGCGGUAAUACGUAGGUGGCAAGCGUUGUCCGGAUUUACUGGGCGUAAAGGAUGCGUAGGCGGAUUUUUAAGUGAGAUGUGAAAUACCCGGGCUUAACUUGGGUGCUGCAUUUCAAACUGGGAAUCUAGAGUGCAGGAGAGGAGAAUGGAAUUCCUAGUGUAGCGGUGAAAUGCGUAGAGAUUAGGAAGAACACCAGUGGCGAAGGCGAUUCUCUGGACCGUAACUGACGCUGAGGCAUGAAAGCGUGGGUAGCAAACAGGAUUAGAUACCCUGGUAGUCCACGCCGUAAACGAUGAGUACUAGGUGUAGGAGGUAUCGACCCCUUCUGUGCCGCAGUUAACACAAUAAGUACUCCGCCU
This 503-nucleotide ribosomal RNA is filed under the name uncultured bacterium. RNAcentral's name for it is "partial 16S ribosomal RNA". It matches the Rfam family "Bacterial small subunit ribosomal RNA", at positions 355 to 874 of the family's 1533-position model. The record is from RNAcentral.